GACGAACGCUGGCGGCGUGCCUAAUACAUGCAAGUCGAGCGGAGCCAUUGGAGCUUGCUCCUUUGGUUUAGCGGCGGACGGGUGAGUAACACGUGGGCAACCUGCCCUGCAGAUCGGGAUAACUCCGGGAAACCGGUGCUAAUACCGAAUAGUUUGCGGCCUCUCAUGAGGCUGCACGGAAAGACGGUUUCGGCUGUCACUGCAGGAUGGGCCCGCGGCGCAUUAGCUAGUUGGUGAGGUAACGGCUCACCAAGGCCACGAUGCGUAGCCGACCUGAGAGGGUGAUCGGCCACACUGGGACUGAGACACGGCCCAGACUCCUACGGGAGGCAGCAGUAGGGAAUCUUCCGCAAUGGACGAAAGUCUGACGGAGCAACGCCGCGUGAGUGAAGAAGGUUUUCGGAUCGUAAAACUCUGUUGUGAGGGAAGAACAAGUACCAAGUAACUACUGGUACCUUGACGGUACCUCACCAGAAAGCCACGGCUAACUACGUG
This 495-nucleotide ribosomal RNA is filed under the name uncultured bacterium. RNAcentral describes it as "partial 16S ribosomal RNA". It matches the Rfam family "Bacterial small subunit ribosomal RNA", at positions 28 to 507 of the family's 1533-position model. The record is from RNAcentral.